UAUGCACUCCGAAGGAGGAUGGUGGUAUGUAACUUAGAAGUUUCAAACAAAGGUCUAUAAUUUGGGCACUAUGAGAGUCUCUACCCUUGUUUGAAACUUCUAUGUUACAUACCACCAUCCUCCUUCGGAGUGAAUA
This 136-nucleotide microRNA precursor is filed under the name Lotus japonicus. RNAcentral describes it as "miR11115 stem-loop (lja-MIR11115)". The record is from miRBase by way of RNAcentral. Lineage: Eukaryota; Viridiplantae; Streptophyta; Magnoliopsida; Fabales; Fabaceae.